GACGUAGGGCGCGAGCGUUGUCCGGAUUUAUUGGGCGUAAAGAGCUCGUAGGCGGCUUGUCGCGUCGGCUUUGAAAUCCCGUGGCUCAACUGCGGGUCUGCAGCCGAUACGGGCAGGCUAGAGUUCGGUAGGGGAGACUGGAAUUCCUGGUGUAGCGGUGAAAUGCGCAGAUAUCAGGAGGAACACCGGUGGCGAAGGCGGCCCUCUGGACGGAUACUGACGCUGAGGCGCGAAAGCGUGGGGAUCAAACAGG
RNAcentral lists this ribosomal RNA (253 nucleotides) under uncultured bacterium. RNAcentral's name for it is "partial 16S ribosomal RNA". It matches the Rfam family "Bacterial small subunit ribosomal RNA", at positions 524 to 776 of the family's 1533-position model. The record is from RNAcentral.